RNAcentral lists this ribosomal RNA (253 nucleotides) under uncultured bacterium. Its description in RNAcentral is "partial 16S ribosomal RNA". It matches the Rfam family "Bacterial small subunit ribosomal RNA", at positions 524 to 776 of the family's 1533-position model. The record is from RNAcentral.
UACGAAGGGGGCUAGCGUUGUUCGGAUUUACUGGGCGUAAAGCGCACGUAGGCGGCUUGGCAAGUCGGAUGUGAAAGCCCUCGGCUCAACCAAGGAAGUGCAUCCGAAACUGCUGAGCUUGAGUACUUAAGAGGAUCGCGGAAUUCCCGGUGUAGAGGUGAAAUUCGUAGAUAUCGGGAGGAACACCAGUGGCGAAGGCGGCGAUCUGGGAAGAUACUGACGCUGAGGUGCGAAAGCGUGGGGAGCAAACAGA